UUUACCUACGGGGCGCAGCAGUGGGGGAUAUUGCACAAUGGGGGGAACCCUGAUGCAGCGACGCCGCGUGGGUGAAGAAGCGCCUCGGCGCGUAAAGCCCUGUCAGCAGGGAAGAAAAUGACGGUACCUGACUAAGAAGCUCCGGCUAAAUACGUGCCAGCAGCCGCGGUAAUACGUAUGGAGCAAGCGUUAUCCGGAAUUACUGGGUGUAAAGGGAGCGUAGGCGGCAAGGCAAGUCUGAUGUGAAAACCCAGGGCCCAACCCUGGGACUGCAUUGGAAACUGUAUUGCUUGAGUACCGGAGAG
RNAcentral lists this ribosomal RNA (305 nucleotides) under uncultured bacterium. Its description in RNAcentral is "bacterial SSU rRNA". It matches the Rfam family "Bacterial small subunit ribosomal RNA", at positions 334 to 656 of the family's 1533-position model. The record is from RNAcentral.